RNAcentral lists this ribosomal RNA (319 nucleotides) under Enterobacter hormaechei subsp. xiangfangensis. RNAcentral's name for it is "bacterial SSU rRNA". It matches the Rfam family "Bacterial small subunit ribosomal RNA", at positions 904 to 1223 of the family's 1533-position model. Lineage: Bacteria; Pseudomonadati; Pseudomonadota; Gammaproteobacteria; Enterobacterales; Enterobacteriaceae. The record is from RNAcentral.
AAUGAAUUGACGGGGGCCCGCACAAGCGGUGGAGCAUGUGGUUUAAUUCGAUGCAACGCGAAGAACCUUACCUACUCUUGACAUCCAGAGAACUUUCCAGAGAUGGAUUGGUGCCUUCGGGAACUCUGAGACAGGUGCUGCAUGGCUGUCGUCAGCUCGUGUUGUGAAAUGUUGGGUUAAGUCCCGCAACGAGCGCAACCCUUAUCCUUUGUUGCCAGCGGUUAGGCCGGGAACUCAAAGGAGACUGCCAGUGAUAAACUGGAGGAAGGUGGGGAUGACGUCAAGUCAUCAUGGCCCUUACGAGUAGGGCUACACACGU